GGUGGUGGUGCAUGGCCGUUCUUAGUUUGGUGGAGCGAUUUUGUCUGGUUAAUUCCGUUAACGAACGAGACCUUAACCUGCUAAAUAGGGUAAAAAACUUAUGUUUUUAAAUUACUUCUUAGAAGGACUUUGCGUGUCUAAUGCGAGGAAGUUUGAGGCAAUAACAGGUCUGUGAUGCCCUUAGAUGUUCUGGGCUGCACGCGCGCUACAAUGAUGCACCCAACAAGUUUAUAGCCUUGGUUGGUAAGCUUAGGUAAUCUUNAUGAAUGUGCAUCGUGAUGGGGAUAGAUUAUUGUAAUUAUUAAUCUUUAACGAGGAAUGCCUAGUAAGCGCUAGUCAUCAGCUUGCGCUGAUUACGUCCCUGCCCUUUGUACACACCGCCCGUCGCUCCUACCGAUUGAGUGAUCCGGUAAAUUAUUUAGACUG
This 426-nucleotide ribosomal RNA is filed under the name Haemogregarina sp. RNAcentral's name for it is "SSU rRNA". It matches the Rfam family "Eukaryotic small subunit ribosomal RNA", at positions 1273 to 1717 of the family's 1831-position model. The record is from RNAcentral. Lineage: Eukaryota; Apicomplexa; Haemogregarinidae.